CUGCUGCCUUCCGUAGGAGUUUGGACCGUGUCUCAGUUCCAAUGUGGGGGACCUUCCUCUCAGAACCCCUACUGAUCGUCGCCCCGGUGGGCCGUUACCCCGCCGGCAAGCUAAUCAGACGCAUCCCCAUCCUUUACCGGCCGAAGCCUUUGGUCAUGAAAAUAUGCAUCAACAUGACAACAUACGGUAUUAAUCCGCCUUUCGACGGGCUGUCCCAUAGUAAAGGGCAGGUUGGAUACGCGUUACUCACCCGUCGCGCCGGUCCGG
This 267-nucleotide ribosomal RNA is filed under the name uncultured bacterium. Its description in RNAcentral is "partial 16S ribosomal RNA". The record is from RNAcentral.